CCCUUAGAUGUUCUGGGCCGCACGCGCGCUACACUGACGAAUGCAACGAGCUUAUAACCUUGGCCGAAAGGUCUGGGUAAUCUCCAAAUUUCGUCGUGAUGGGGAUAGAUUAUUGCAAUUAUUAAUCUUCAACGAGGAAUGCCUAGUAAGCGCAAGUCGUCAGCUUGCGUUGAUUACGUCCCUGCCCUUUGUACACACCGCCCGUCGCUCCUACCGAUUGAAUGGUCCGGUGAAGCGUUCGGACCGUGGCCUUUGGACGGUUCGCCGUCUGUUGGCUGCGGGAAGUUCGUUAAACCUUAUCAUUUAGAGGAAGGAGAGGUCGUAACA
Molecule: ribosomal RNA, 327 nt
Filed under: uncultured eukaryote
Lineage: Eukaryota
Description: partial 18S ribosomal RNA
Rfam family: Eukaryotic small subunit ribosomal RNA
Source: RNAcentral